UGAUGUAUAUGCUGCUGAGAUGAAUUAUCAAGAAUGAUACUGUCUGCUUCAAAGUCUUCUCUGUUUUCAAGUUGUAGUUUCUGCACUUGUAAAGACUUACUCAACACAGUUGAGCAAAUUACUUCUGCUUUUUUAUCUGGGUUUUCUGCAGUUACAGAACUUUUCUUUGGUGUACAAAGUUCAAGUGAUACAGGUACUUUCUUGGACUCUACAUUUUUAGUGGUUUCUUCCUGGUCUUCUCUCCUUAUCUCUUGUGGGCUGUUUUGAGAAGAGCCUUUUUCCUCAUCAUCCGGGGAAGAGAAAAUUGUUGGCACAGCUGUAUGUUUCAAGUAUCUGAUACCCCAUCUCACAUCAAGGGAAUCAGGGGUAAAAUGAUCACUGCACAGAAGCUGGUGCUUACUUGGAGUCCACGCAUCGCGUUUCAUAUUCCGCAACCAUUUCUCAAGUCUCUCUUUAUCAUGAAGCGGAAAUGGGUAGAAGCUGAGCUUGCGCUGAUCCCUGGCGCUCUGCCCGCCGCGGUUCUUGCAGUAGGACGCGGCACAAUACCGCGGCAUGGCGGCGCGGCCGGACGCGGCCCGGAACCAUCCGCGCGGCGGCAGCGGGGGCGCAGGGGGCGGCGGUCACGGGGACAACGGCCACCGCCCCCGCCCCUCGUGCCGAG
This 661-nucleotide long non-coding RNA is filed under the name Gallus gallus (chicken). The record is from RNAcentral. Lineage: Eukaryota; Metazoa; Chordata; Aves; Galliformes; Phasianidae.